UAGUUGAUCAUAGAACUAUGAGUUGGUGAAUAAUCGACUUAUCAAAAAAUUGAUAAUCUAUUUAUCAUGUGAAGAAAUCAACAACGGCAUCAAUAUAUAAUAAAUAAUUUGCAUAGUCUAGUAUUUCUUCAAUCUUUUCUUAAUUCGUAAAUUUUAACAAACUCCAACUACUCAUUGUUUAAAAUUACAACUCUUUCAGGCCUUACAAUGAUAGAGUCUAUACUAAACCUUAAUAAUCAAUUAUAGAACACAUAAACAUUCUUUAGACCUUUUCUAAUGGUCACUUUUUUUGUAGCCUUACUAUAUAAAUGAGAGAGAUCUUAUUGAUUUCCUCCAUGUUCAUUUGUUCAUCUCUUUCUCAUUUUGAUUCAACAAUAAUAAUGUCUCCGGUUCUCAUUUAGAACACUCCUUAGCUUGCUCUAAAACUUUAAUCCGUUGCAUUAUUUCGGUGGUCGUUGGAAAAGUAAUAUCAAGUAUGUAUGGAAAUUAGGUAAGAAGAAGACGACUACAUUACCACUACUAGAAAUUACCCCUAUUGCAAUGAACCUUUUGGCAACGAUUUCAAAAGUAUUGUGAUAGAUGGUCUUUUGCAACGGUUGGAACCAUUGCAAAAAAAUUGUUCUAGUAGUAUGAUAACCAUUGCGAUUGGUGGAUUACCGUUGCAACAGGGUAUGUUAUAGCAAUGACUUCUUUAACCAUUUCUAUAAAGUUACCUAUGGCAACACGUUUUUGGAAAAAAAUCCUAUUGCAUCAGUUUUCAUUUUUUCCUCCCUAUUUUUUCACAAAUUCUACCAAAAGUUUAAAAAAUAUAUAACAAAAAUUUAAAAAAAUAUAUAAAAAAUAACAUUUCAGUAGGCUCUCAUCAACUCACUCUCAUUCAGUCAAUAACACACCAGUGCAUCGCCAACUGCCUAGCCGGUUUGACUACCCAGCUGCUCCGACCACCAAUCUAAUUUACAAUAGCCCGAUAGAAAAUUAGCAGAGCAGACAUAAAAUUAGGAUUAUAAUGGAUAGUGAGGAUAAAAAUUGGAUGAAUUAUUUAAUAUGGUCUGAUGAGUUCCAGCAUGAAGUGAAAAACUUUUUUGAGAAGGUAUUUGAACGAGCUUCUCCAGAAAAUGAGAUAUUAUGUGCUUGUAAAGACUUCAAGAAUCAUUAUUGGCAUUAUAGAGAAAUAGUGAAGGAUCACUUGCUUUCUAGAGGGUUUCGUGCUUGUUACACCAAAUGGACUUUCCAUGGAGAAAGCGCUUCCUCGAGAAAGACACAUCAUCCAAUCAAUGAUGAUGAAGGUUCAAAUAUGCGGGAUGAUAUUUAUGGACUACUUCAUGAUACAUUUAGAAAUGUAGAGGCUAAAUUGGGGCAUGAAGAAGGGGAUGAAGAGGGAUUACCUGAAGAUGCAAAGAAAUUUUUUAAAUUAUUGGAGGAUGGAAAGAAAUAAUUAUAAUCAGGGUGUGAAAAAUUUAGUAAAUUGAGCUUCACCAUUCGAUUGUUCUUUUUUAAAUCUUUGCAUGGGUUGAGUAAUGUAGCAUUUUAAGAUUUGUUAGUGUUGAUAAAAGAGGCAUUUCCCUUUGCUCAGAUACCGGAGUCUUUCAAUAAUGCUAGAAAUAUGAUAAGAGAUUUGGGUC
Molecule: long non-coding RNA, 1622 nt
Organism: Capsicum annuum
Lineage: Eukaryota; Viridiplantae; Streptophyta; Magnoliopsida; Solanales; Solanaceae
Exons: 2
Source: RefSeq, a predicted model, not a curated record